Molecule: ribosomal RNA, 241 nt
Filed under: uncultured Staphylococcus sp.
Lineage: Bacteria; Bacillati; Bacillota; Bacilli; Caryophanales; Staphylococcaceae
Description: partial 16S ribosomal RNA
Rfam family: Bacterial small subunit ribosomal RNA
Source: RNAcentral
CGGACGGGUGAGUAACACGUGGAUAACCUACCUAUAAGACUGGGAUAACUUCGGGAAACCGGAGCUAAUACCGGAUAAUAUAUUGAACCGCAUGGUUCAAUAGUGAAAGACGGUUUUGCUGUCACUUAUAGAUGGAUCCGCGCCGCAUUAGCUAGUUGGUAAGGUAACGGCUCACCAAGGCGACGAUGCGUAGCCGACCUGAGAGGGUGAUCGGCCACACUGGAACUGAGACACGGUCCAG